GCCGACGUGGUUUAGGGGUAUAAUUCUCGCUUCGGGUUUGCCCACUCGUGCCAAUCACGAGUCAACAGCGAGAUCCUGAAAUGUGAGAGGUCCUGGGUUCGACUCCCAGCGUCGGCC
Non-coding RNA from Orbilia brochopaga, 117 nucleotides. NCBI's taxonomy places the organism in Eukaryota, Fungi, Ascomycota, Orbiliomycetes, Orbiliales, Orbiliaceae. The record is from the annotation of a GenBank genome assembly.